AGGUUGGGUUGUUUUUUUGCAUUCUGGUUUGUGUUAUUUUGUUUGACGACUGUUAAAGUGGUCUCCUCCGUCAGAGAAGGCGGUGAGGAGGUCAACAUCAGUGGAGAGGUCAAAGGGCAAAGCUGCCCCUGAGUCGGGUUUCUCCUGCGGGAGAGACGACUGGGUCUGGGGGUUGAACAGUUAAAACAAUGUCGUCCGGAGCCGCCGGUUUGAUGAAGGCUGUGAGGAGUAACCUUGGAAGGAGGAGGCUUCUGUGGUACUGUGUUGUAGGUACCCAAUAGGCUAAAUCUGUUUUUAUAAGAGUUAGCCAUUUUAAAGGGGGACCCAGACUAAUUCAAAAGAAAAAGAAAAGCGGGGAAGGGGUUGGGGUAUAAAAAAAGAAAAGAAAAAGGGAAAACAGAAGAAAAAUGCAAAACAAACUAUAAUAAGGUUAAACCGCAAUUCGCAUUGAAAAAAAGAUUUGCUAGAACAGAUGUAGUUGUGGUU
Long non-coding RNA from Gadus chalcogrammus (walleye pollock), 486 nucleotides. RefSeq lists it as uncharacterized. Lineage: Eukaryota; Metazoa; Chordata; Actinopteri; Gadiformes; Gadidae. The record is from RefSeq and is a predicted model, not a curated record. The transcript has 3 exons.